This 407-nucleotide ribosomal RNA is filed under the name uncultured bacterium. RNAcentral describes it as "partial 16S ribosomal RNA". It matches the Rfam family "Bacterial small subunit ribosomal RNA", at positions 30 to 526 of the family's 1533-position model. The record is from RNAcentral.
AUUGAACGCUGGCGGCAGGCUUAACACAUGCAAGUCGAGCGGAGCGGAGGACGAGUGAGUAAUGCCUAGGUAUCUGCGUGGCACUGGGGGAAACUGUCUGGCACCGGGGGCUAAUACUGCAUACAUUCAGAUGAGCCUAGGUCGGAUUAGCAAGUUGGUGGGGUAAAGGCCUACCAAUGCGACGAUCCGUAACUGGUCUGAGAGGUUGAUCAGUCACACUUGAACUGAGACACGGUCCAGACUCCUACGGGAGGCAGCAGUGGGGAAUAUUGGACAAUGGGCGAAAGCCUAAUCCAGCCAGGCCGCGUGUGUGAAGAAGGUCUUCGGAUUGUAAGACACUUUAAGUUGGGAGGCGUUACCAACAGAAUAAGCACCGGCUAACUUCGUGCCAGCAGCCGCGGUAAUAC